This 91-nucleotide transfer RNA is filed under the name Pilimelia anulata. RNAcentral's name for it is "tRNA-Arg". The record is from RNAcentral. Lineage: Bacteria; Bacillati; Actinomycetota; Actinomycetes; Micromonosporales; Micromonosporaceae.
GGCGUUGAUCGCGCGCGAGCGGUGCAGCCGCCGGCGCUGCGCCGGGCCGCGCUCGGUGGCCAGGGCGCGGUUCCAGUGCCGCACCAUGCCG